Molecule: ribosomal RNA, 500 nt
Filed under: uncultured bacterium
Lineage: Bacteria
Description: partial 16S ribosomal RNA
Rfam family: Bacterial small subunit ribosomal RNA
Source: RNAcentral
GACGAACGCUGGCGGCGUGCUUAACACAUGCAAGUCGAACGGGUCUGCCCUGUUUUUUGCGGGGUGGGUCAGUGGCGAACGGGUGAGUAACACGUGAGUAACCUGCCCCUCACUUCUGGAUAACCGCUUGAAAGGGUGGCUAAUACGGGGUGUUCUGGCUGUGCCGCAUGGUGUGGCUGGGAAAGAUUCACUUUUGUGGUGUUUUGGUGGGGGAUGGGCUCGCGGCCUAUCAGCUUGUUGGUGGGGUGAUGGCCUGCCAAGGCUUUGACGGGUAGCCGGCCUGGGAGGGUGGGCGGUCACACUGGGACUGGGAUACGGCCCAGACUCCUGCGGGAGGCAGCAGUGGGGGGUAUUGCACAAUGGGCGGAAGCCUGAUGCAGCGACGUCGCGUGAGGGAUGGAGGCCUUCGGGUUGUGAACCUCUUUCGCCGGUGAAGAAGGUCCUGCUCUUUGUGGUGGGGUUGACGGUAGCCGGGUUAUGAAGCGCCGGCUAACUACGUG